RNAcentral lists this ribosomal RNA (253 nucleotides) under uncultured bacterium. RNAcentral describes it as "partial 16S ribosomal RNA". It matches the Rfam family "Bacterial small subunit ribosomal RNA", at positions 524 to 776 of the family's 1533-position model. The record is from RNAcentral.
UACGAAGGGGGCUAGCGUUGCUCGGAAUCACUGGGCGUAAAGCGCACGUAGGCGGAUCUUUAAGUCAGGGGUGAAAUCCCGGAGCUCAACUCCGGAACUGCCUUUGAUACUGAGAAGCUUGAGUCCGGGAGAGGUGAGUGGAACUGCGAGUGUAGAGGUGAAAUUCGUAGAUAUUCGCAAGAACACCAGUGGCGAAGGCGGCUCACUGGCCCGGUACUGACGCUGAGGUGCGAAAGCGUGGGGAGCAAACAGG